GUAUUUGAGCCAAGAUGAUGUGUCAAUAGCCCCAAGAAGAACUCUGCGGAGAGGGCAUCCCCAGCAGAGGGAACAGGAGGUGCAAAGACCCUAAAAUCGAGGAAGAAUUAGGUAUGUUUAAGGAACUGAAAGAAAGUCAGUGGGGCUGGAGCCAGUGACUAAGGGACAGGUGGUGGGCACAAGGUGAGAUGAGGAGGCAAGGGGCCAGAACAAAAGAUUGGAGACUGGUAUUUUAUCUUAAGAAUGGAGAUUCUUGCCCUGGAGAAUUCUGAGCAAGGAAGGGACACGAUCGCCCUCAUAUUUCAAAAGAAUCUUUCCUGCUGCUGGGACUGUGGCUACUUAAAAACGACUUGUAGGUGCAAGAGCAGAGACAUUAUUUUGCCGACAAAGGGACCUGGAGGCCCCCAAACGCUUGGAUUCUCUUCCUGCCAAAUGUGACCACUUCCUGCAUCAUGAUCCUGAUGAAACCCAGCUGAGGGAGACGGACAGAGGGAAGAUCAGGCCUUGCCUUCUCAGAGUUUAUGGGCGCAAAUCUAGGAAGACUGCUAAGCUCAGAUGCUGCCUUCUCCAGGCAGUCUUCCCAAUGGUGGGUCACUCCUCUUCUGCGCACUGUGCCUGCUUCUACCACAACACCUGCCACCCUGAUGAAUAACAUCUGCUCACACAGCUUCUCCUGGUAGGUCUGCAAUGUGUUUGGGGAAGGGUGUCAGCUCCACAGUGUUUGCCUUAGGGCCUGGCGCAUAGUAGGUGCUCAGUUAGUGCUUAAUGGGGAGUGGGUGAAUAAAAUGCUGACUGACUGUGAAGCUCAUGGAGUAUAAUCUCAG
Molecule: long non-coding RNA, 824 nt
Filed under: Capra hircus (goat)
Lineage: Eukaryota; Metazoa; Chordata; Mammalia; Artiodactyla; Bovidae
Description: lncRNA (ENSCHIG00000000984.1)
Source: RNAcentral